AGGGUUCGAUUCUGGCUCAGGACGAACGCUGGCGGCAUGCUUCAUACAUGCAAGUCGAACGAUAAGGUCUCUUCGGAGAUACAUAAGUGGCGGACGGGUGAGUAAUAUGUAGGAAAUCUGCCCUAGAGAGGGGGACAACAGAGGGAAACUUCUGCUAAUACCCCAUAUGAGCGUACCUGAAAUGGUAUUCUUGAAAACUCCGGUGCUCUAGGAUGAGCCUGCAUCUGAUUAGCUUGUUGGCGGUGUAAUGGACCACCAAGGCGACGAUCAGUAGCUGGUUUGAGAGGAUGAUCAGCCACAAUGGGACUGAGACACGGCCCAUACUCCUACGGGAGGCAGCAGUAGGGAAUUUUGCGCAAUGGGCGAAAGCCUGAACCGCAGCAAUGCCGCGUGAACGUAGAAGCCCUUCGGGGUGUAAAGUUCUGUCAGUGGGGACGAAUUUUGACGGUACCCACAGAGGAAGCACCGGCUAACUCCGUGCCAGCAGCCGC
Molecule: ribosomal RNA, 491 nt
Filed under: uncultured bacterium
Lineage: Bacteria
Description: bacterial SSU rRNA
Rfam family: Bacterial small subunit ribosomal RNA
Source: RNAcentral